GUUAGACGAGAGUUUCUUUAUGAACUGGGCCAGUUAUACAACAUGCUGCUGAUGUAACGCCAUAAAACAUUAAAGCAACAGGCAGCGUGGUGCGGCGCCUUCUCUUCUUCUUCUUAUUCUUCUUCUUCUUCUUCUUUUGGCUCGCCUUAGACGGGUUUUUCCCCGUUUAUGAUUCUGCAGUUUACUUUCAGCAACUGUGAAUAUUCACACACAGUACACACACACACACACACACACACACACACACAUACUGCACACACACACACACAUACUGUACACACACAAACAAUACACAUACAUACAGUACACAUACACACACACACACAUACUGCACACACACACACACAUACUGUACACACACAAACAAUACACAUACAUACAGUACACACACACACACACACUGUACACAUACAUACAGUACACACACACACACACACACACACACACAUACUGCACACACACACACACACACACAUACAGUACACACACAAACAAUACACACACAUACAAUACACACACAUACAAUACCACACAAACAAUACACACACAUACAAUACACACACAAACAAUACACACACAAACAAUACACACACAUACAAUACACACACAACAAUACACACACAUACAAUACACACACAUACAAUACACACACAAAACAAUACACCACACAUACAAUACACACACAAACAAUACACACACAAACAAUACACACACAUACAAUACACACACAAACAAUACACACACAUACAAUACACACACAUACAAUACACACACACACACCUGACAGCUGCAGAGGGUUGUGUGUGCUGUUGGUCUUGCUACAGUGAGGUGAUGAUGAUUACUACAAGAGUUUUAGCUGUAAAUCUGCAGUAAAUAAACACUGAUAAUAAAUUCAUAACAAUUCACUCUUCUGACCCCUUCUGCGUUUACACCUUCAGUCACUAGUGAGUUUUUAUCCCGUUUAUGUUACAGUAGAUGAGUUUUUAUCCCGUUUAUGUUACAGUAGAUGAGUUUUUAUCCCGUUUAUGUUACAGUAGAUGAGUUUUUAUCCCGUUUAUGUUACAGUAGUUGUGCUUUUGGCCCGUUAUGUUACAGUAAAUGAGUUUUUAUUCCGUUUAUGUUACAGUAGUUGUGCUUUGGCCCGCUUUAUGUUACAGUAGAUGUGUUUUUGGCCCGUUAUGUUACAGUAGAUGAAGUUUUAUCCCGUUUAUCAGUAGUUGUGCUUUUGGCCCGUUUAUGUUACAGUAAAUGAGUUUUUAUCCCGUUUAUGUUACAGUAAUUGUGUUUUUGGCCCGUUUAUGUUACAGUAGAUGAGUUUUUGGCCCGUUUAUGUUACAGUAGAUGAGUUUUUGGUCCGUUUAUGUUACAGUAGAUGAGUUUUUAUCGCGUUUAUGUUACAGUAGAUGAGUUUUAUCCCGUUUAUGUUACAGUAGAUGUGUUUUUGGCCCGUUUAUGUUACAGUAGAUGUGUUUUUGGCCCGUUUAUGUUACAGUAGAUGAGUUUUUGGCCCGUUUAUGUUACAGUAGAUGUGUUUUUGGCCCGUUUAUGUUACAGUAGAUGAGUUUUUGGCCCGUUUAUGUUACAGUAGAUGAGUUUUUUGGUCCGUUUAUGUUACAGUAGAUGAGUUUUUGGCCCGUUUAUGUUACAGUAGAUGUGUUUUUGGCCCGUUUAUGUUACAGUAGAUGAGUUUUUGGUCCGUUUAUGUUACAGUAGAUGAUUUUUUAUCCCGUUUAUGUUACAGUAGAUGAGUUUUUAUCCCGUUUAUGUUACAGUAGAUGAGUUUUUAUCCCGUUUAUGUUACAGUAGAUGAGUUUAUCCCGUUAUGUUACAGUAGAUGUGUUCUUGGCCCGUUUAUGUUACAGUAGAUGUGUUUUUAUCCCGUUUAUGUUACAGUAGAUGUGUUUUAUCCUGUUUAUGUUACAGUAGAUGUGUUCUUGGCCCGUUUAUGUUACAGUAGAUGUGUUUUAUCCUGUUUAUGUUACAGUAGAUGAGUUUUUUAUCCCGUUUAUGUUACAGUAGAUGUGUUUCUUGCCUUGCUCUUUUAUAGUAUAUGUGUCUUUGUCCUGUUUGUGUUUUUCAAUUGUUUGUGUUUAGGGCUGCAACUACCUAUUAUUUUCAUAGUUGAUUGGUUGGCCAAUUAUUUUUGCGAUUAUUCGGAUGGGGGCGGGGCAAACUUACAGUACACUGUUUUUUUGUUUUAUUUAUAAUGAAAUCCUCAAACUGAGUUUUACAAAUAUAAACACACACUAAAACUUUACACAACUCUUUGUCCAAAACAGAAAAGAACCCAACACACACACACACACACACACACACACACACAAACACACACCAGCAUAUAUAUUAUCAAUUUAGGACCGUAGUUUAAUUCUGUGCUUUUUGUUCAUACAUAAAAAAUGAUGCAUAAAUACUUCCAUACAAUACAAACUAAAAUAAAUUAAUAAGUUAUGUUUGUGUGUUUAUAUAUGAAAUUUAUUUGAUUAGUUUAUAUUAGUUUAUAUUGUUUAUAAGUAUUUAUGCGUCAUUUUUUAUGGAUGCAGAAAAAGCACAGGAUUAAACUCCGGUCCUAAAUUGAUAAUAAAAACUCUUUCACUGCACCGUGUGGUUUCUGUUCCUCGCUGUCUUUAUUAAUAUUAUUUUACUUGUUUACUUUUGAUCAGAGUGUUUUAAUUAGACAUUACAGAUCUUACUCGCGCUACACUCCCUAUCAGCGCGUCUACACCGCACGUGAUCAGCAACGUGGCCUCGUCACUAGCACGUCACUUCCCUUAUCAUAAGCGACGGAAGUUACACUGCAAGCGCGCAGAUACGCCAUAUAAUCACCAUAAACUGGAAUUAAACUAACCCUUUUAAGGAACUCGCACCAGUUUCCCCCGCCCCUUACACACAGUGGAGUAUUUUGGAUAUAAACAGUUUUGCGCUCGUGCAGCACUGUUUGAUCUCCGCGGUGUUUAAUAUAAAAUGCCCCCCUGAAUUAGAGGACUUUCUUCCUCCGUCACGUGACGAUUUCUCCUCCGUCCGACGGGGACGGAGGUCAUGAUGGGAAUAAAAGGUAACGCUGACAGAAAGUAAACUUCAGAAAGUCAUCGUCCGUCAGUCUGGGUGUCUGCUAAUGCCAGCGUGCGUAUGACAUCACGCGCCGUCGCCUAGAAGCGGCUUAUACUUCCGGUUAGUAAAAAAAAAAAAACCCCGCUAGUGAUAUACUUGAGUAACGAGUAAACCCCACCCCCCGUGCCGCGCAGACCGACACGGACAGCGAUGAUCCAGCGGGACGUGUCGAGAAUCCUCGGGGUUCGAUACCGCCCCUGUCGAAGUGUCCUUGAGGUGGCGUGAGAGGUUUUUGAUGAACUAAACCAGGCGUGUCAGAUUUUGGUCGGAGAUGAAACCCGCAGGAAGGUAGAUCUUACGGAAGAGCGUUGGUGGCCAAAUUGGGUUGGAUGCGCUAAAUUCCUAGACACGUAUCAAACUCCGAGGGAAAUGAAUGCGGGCAUUCAGGUCUCGAUGCUUUGUAGACAUGUUUCGAUUAGCUUUAUGGUUAAAAUGACUGGGUGACGCCCAGGACACAUGCCAGUCAUUCUUUUGUAAGGUGAACAAAGCUAGACAACUAUAUGUUCGUCAUAGGCAACUCCUCAAUAAGACGCGAUUGAUGUAGAGCUACAUAUGAUCGUUAAAGUGAUAUAAACUAGCGAGCUUAGUUAUAGCUUACGUGUUUACGCCGCCGUAUUUACUGUAUAUACAGUAGUCACAUGUCUCACUCAGAGGUUCUGAUUGGUCGAGCAGGCGGGACUCUCGUAUCGCUGUAUUGCAUUCCGGGUGUUGUACGUUUCGGGUGAAGACGGAGAAAGGUAAAAUAAUGUCGCUAAACCAUGGGCAGUGAGCGAUACUGUGCAACAGAUCGAUACAUACCACGACGAACGAUGUGUUCAUAUAAACGAUAGUUUUAUGUUGGAAUUCCCCUUUAAUCGUAGAACAGCAUGUCUGUGAACAGCAGUUAUAUCAACUAUUAAAGCCGCAGUGUUUUGGUUUCCGGUCUGCUGAUUCAUAAAGCGUUUGCCGGGAUGUUCGGCCUCUCCGGCUUUCCGUAGCGAACCCUAAUGCAGGACCUGAUUAAGAUCUCCGGCGUUUGUUGAUUUUAUCGAUUCCUAUAGCAGCGAGUCUAACCCGCAUCGUACAGCGCCUAUAUAAAGCUUGCUAAAGUGCUGUUAUUCCUGGAUAAUUGAUUUGAUUGUUAUUGAGUUGCUCACAGAGGAGCGUUUUUUAAAGGCAGUGUUUAAAGAUCUUUAAUCUUGGUUGAAGGAUACCAACCUGUAAUUUUAGCCAUAACAUUAAAACCACCGACAGCUGACGUGAAUAACUUUAUUAUUGUCUUUAAAUCGGCACCUGUCGAGUCGAGGGGGGGUUUUUUAUUAUCGGGUAACGGGUGAACGGUCAGUUCUGGAAGUUGACGUGUUGGAAGCAGGAAAAAUGGGCAAGUGUAAGGAUCUGAGAGACUUCGACAAGAACCAGAUUGUGAUGUCUAGACGUCUGGGUCAGAACGUCUACAAAACAGCAGGUGUUGUGGGGUGUUCCCGGUAUGCAGUGGUCAGAACCUACUAAAAGUGGUCCGAGGAAGGAGAACCGGAGAACCGGCGAAGGGUCACGGACGCCCAAGUCUCAGUGAUGCGUCCGGUCCGAUCCCACAGAAGAUCUACU
Molecule: long non-coding RNA, 4692 nt
Organism: Ictalurus punctatus (channel catfish)
Lineage: Eukaryota; Metazoa; Chordata; Actinopteri; Siluriformes; Ictaluridae
Source: Ensembl